Non-coding RNA from Cyanistes caeruleus (blue tit), 1534 nucleotides. The record is from RefSeq and is a predicted model, not a curated record. Lineage: Eukaryota; Metazoa; Chordata; Aves; Passeriformes; Paridae.
UCCUCACUGGCACGCAUGCAUUUUGCCAUCAACACCCCUAUGAGUUAUACGGUCAAGAGUCUUCUUGUCACACGAAGAUGUACAGAGAUGGUAGAAGUGCUGGGGAUGCCUCACACAGACUGUCAGUGAGUUACCUCAGGUGCCUAAUGCUGAACUGUGCUGAGGAUCUGUUGGCUGUGGGGUGGGAACACCAGGCUGGAAGCUGUGGCUGCAGUUGUCUCUUGGGGACCAGGAUACUCCUGUGAGCUGCCUUGAAUAUGAAAAGAUUGAAGAUGCUAAAGUGCCUGCAGAGCUGAGGAGCCAGAGUGGCUCCCAGGGGGACAUGGCUGUGGUGGUGGUAGCAGUGAACAGGGCUCAUGGAUCCAGUUUUUAAUGGCCAGAUAUGGCUGAGACACUUUCAAGACAGCAUAGGUUGAAUUCAGGCAGUUAGUCUCCCAAGUACCCUGGAGGUGGACUUCUCCACAGGGACAUUCAGAACAGACUUGUACUUUCUCUCAAUCUAAAUUCUGUGUAGGCAGUAUAAAGUUAUUACAGUCCUGUCUCUGGGGAAUGAUCUCACUGAAAGUGAAUCCCACAACCUUGUAGUCUUGUUUUGUUAAUAUAGUUAGCAUAAAAUUUUACUAUACGUUAGCCUAAAAGUUACAAUAACACAAUGUUUGCAAGUAGGUUUUUCCUUUGGGUGAUGAACAGGGAUAUGUGUGUGUAACUAACUGUGCUGUGCAUCCAUUCUCCAUGGGAGGGUAUCAGAGAAUGGCCUUCUCAAUUCCAAUAACUAACUAUGGUUAUCAGCAAGUUUUGCACUGGUCCAAGACAGCCGUCACCUCCAGAAAUCAGUGAUUAUUGUGAAGUGCUUUUCUCCUUCCACAGAAUUCCAAUAACUCUUUGGCAGCUUAAUCCAGAUGUAGAUGGGUAAAAUAAACUGUGAUGAACCCCCACCUUGGUGCUUCUGCCUUUGAAAAGGUGUAAUGAGUGAACAGCAGAAACUCUGUGGCAGAGCAUCACUCUAGAAGAACUUUUCCGAGAAAGCUUUGACUGGAAAACUGAAAUGCCUGGUGUCUCCAUCUCUCCGGCUUAAUGUGCUAAAAGCAUUAAAUAUAUGUGUCUUAGCUUUUGCUCUUUUCCCAUAUUUUCCUCCUGGCUAGAUCAGGUGCUGCCUUCCUUGACGUGAUGGCUUUGAUGUAUUGUUAGAGUUAUUUUGCAGAUGACAUGGAGAGCCUGGGGAGCCAAAUCCAGCUGAGCACUACCCUGAGCAGUGGCUUGUCUGAGAGUGACUUCUAUGCCAAUGCAGUGCCUAAGAAGAGGGCAUCAUAUCCCCCAAAAGAGACUCAACAAUGAAUUCUGUGUAUCAGUGAAGGGUUCUUUGAGAGAGUUAAUCAACACAGCUGUGAGGAAUGGAGAGUUCCCUUUCACUGAAAUGGGGCCCACUUCUGAGAGUGUGGCUGACACAAUCUGUUCUGGACAGGAGCUGGAGUCAAAGAUCCCUCUAAGUUCCUUCCAUCUCAGCACAUUCUGUGAAUUUAUUGAGAAGACAUGG